RNAcentral lists this ribosomal RNA (580 nucleotides) under uncultured bacterium. RNAcentral's name for it is "bacterial SSU rRNA". It matches the Rfam family "Bacterial small subunit ribosomal RNA", at positions 332 to 922 of the family's 1533-position model. The record is from RNAcentral.
GCCCUUCCUACGGGAGGCAGCAGUGGGGAAUAUUGCGCAAUGGGCGAAAGCCUGACGCGGCGACGCCGCGUGGGGGAUGACGGCCUUCGGGUUGUAAACCUCUUUCAGCAGGGACGAAGCGGAAGUGACGGUACCUGCAGAAGAAGCACCGGCCAACUACGUGCCAGCAGCCGCGGUAAUACGUAGGGUGCAAGCGUUGUCCGGAAUUAUUGGGCGUAAAGAGCUCGUAGGCGGUUUGUUGCGUCGGCUGUGAAAACCUGAGGCUCAACCUCAGGCCUGCAGUCGAUACGAGCAGACUAGAGUGUUGCAGGGGAGACUGGAAUUCCUGGUGUAGCGGUGAAAUGCGCAGAUAUCAGGAGGAACACCGGUGGCGAAGGCGGGUCUCUGGGCAACAACUGACGCUGAGGAGCGAAAGCGCGGGGAGCGAACAGGAUUAGAUACCCUGGUAGUCCACGCCGUAAACGUUGGGCGCUAGGUGUGGGGCUCAUUCCACGAGUUCCGUGCCGCAGCUAACGCAUUAAGCGCCCCGCCUGGGGAGUACGGCCGCAAGGCUAAAACUCAAAGGAAUUGACGGAAGGGC